Molecule: transfer RNA, 69 nt
Filed under: Celosia argentea (silver cockscomb)
Lineage: Eukaryota; Viridiplantae; Streptophyta; Magnoliopsida; Caryophyllales; Amaranthaceae
Description: tRNA-Val
Rfam family: tRNA
About the family: Transfer RNA (tRNA) molecules are approximately 80 nucleotides in length.
Source: RNAcentral
AGGGUUAUAGCUCAGUUGGUAGAGCACCUCUCCCGAGACGGUCUACGGUUCGAGUCCGUAUAGCCCUAC